RNAcentral lists this ribosomal RNA (1138 nucleotides) under Staphylococcus aureus. RNAcentral's name for it is "partial 23S ribosomal RNA". It matches the Rfam family "Bacterial large subunit ribosomal RNA", at positions 307 to 1452 of the family's 2925-position model. The record is from RNAcentral. Lineage: Bacteria; Bacillati; Bacillota; Bacilli; Caryophanales; Staphylococcaceae.
AUACGGAGUUACAAAGGACGACAUUAGACGAAUCAUCUGGAAAGAUGAAUCAAAGAAGGUAAUAAUCCUGUAGUCGAAAAUGUUGUCUCUCUUGAGUGGAUCCUGAGUACGACGGAGCACGUGAAAUUCCGUCGGAAUCUGGGAGGACCAUCUCCUAAGGCUAAAUACUCUCUAGUGACCGAUAGUGAACCAGUACCGUGAGGGAAAGGUGAAAAGCACCCCGGAAGGGGAGUGAAAUAGAACCUGAAACCGUGUGCUUACAAGUAGUCAGAGCCCGUUAAUGGGUGAUGGCGUGCCUUUUGUAGAAUGAACCGGCGAGUUACGAUUUGAUGCAAGGUUAAGCAGUAAAUGUGGAGCCGUAGCGAAAGCGAGUCUGAAUAGGGCGUUUAGUAUUUGGUCGUAGACCCGAAACCAGGUGAUCUACCCUUGGUCAGGUUGAAGUUCAGGUAACACUGAAUGGAGGACCGAACCGACUUACGUUGAAAAGUGAGCGGAUGAACUGAGGGUAGCGGAGAAAUUCCAAUCGAACCUGGAGAUAGCUGGUUCUCUCCGAAAUAGCUUUAGGGCUAGCCUCAAGUGAUGAUUAUUGGAGGUAGAGCACUGUUUGGACGAGGGGCCCCUCUCGGGUUACCGAAUUCAGACAAACUCCGAAUGCCAAUUAAUUUAACUUGGGAGUCAGAACAUGGGUGAUAAGGUCCGUGUUCGAAAGGGAAACAGCCCAGACCACCAGCUAAGGUCCCAAAAUAUAUGUUAAGUGGAAAAGGAUGUGGCGUUGCCCAGACAACUAGGAUGUUGGCUUAGAAGCAGCCAUCAUUUAAAGAGUGCGUAAUAGCUCACUAGUCGAGUGACACUGCGCCGAAAAUGUACCGGGGCUAAACAUAUUACCGAAGCUGUGGAUUGUCCUUUGGACAAUGGUAGGAGAGCGUUCUAAGGGCGUUGAAGCAUGAUCGUAAGGACAUGUGGAGCGCUUAGAAGUGAGAAUGCCGGUGUGAGUAGCGAAAGACGGGUGAGAAUCCCGUCCACCGAUUGACUAAGGUUUCCAGAGGAAGGCUCGUCCGCUCUGGGUUAGUCGGGUCCUAAGCUGAGGCCGACAGGCGUAGGCGAUGGAUAACAGGUUGAUAUUCCUGUACCACCUAUA